Molecule: long non-coding RNA, 1784 nt
Filed under: Oreochromis niloticus (Nile tilapia)
Lineage: Eukaryota; Metazoa; Chordata; Actinopteri; Cichliformes; Cichlidae
Description: lncRNA (ENSONIG00000037201.1)
Source: RNAcentral
UUAUUUUAUUUUAUUUCGAGGCUCGAUAAGAGAAAUGUCAGAUAAAACUACCAGGCUGGUUAUUUCUUAAGGAUUACAGAGUACCUGCUGCCCCUCCUCCCUGUGUGUAAGGGCUGUAUCAAGGCCACUGGAGACUUUGGUUUCUCUUUGUCACACUUGUGUCUCUGCUGCGUCUAAUUUUACUUUCGCUUUCAGAUCCUGCAGAGGCAGAGUAUCUGAGUCAGGACAGCUCGGAUGAGGAGAACGACGAAAAGGAGGAGGACGAGGAGCGAAGGGAAGGGGUGACGAGCAUGGACGAGGCUCUCAGGACAAUAACGGACACUGGCGGGUGCGAUCGAGCGGAUUUCCUCAAGCAGAACUUUGAGACACUGUCGGAGGGCUGCACUACAGCUGAGCAGAGCAGAGUCCCGAGGCUCAGUAUGUCUUCACGCUUCCUGGCCAGAGGACAUAAUAACCGAGACGUGCGUCUGUUUGCCAAAGCGAAUGGGAAGGAACAAGGCGGCUGCUCUAUUAAGCCCCCGGUGUCAAAAGUGCGGCCCUUGAUGGAAGAUGGCGUAAGCGGGAACGCAGAAAAUAAGAGUCCCGUGUCCCCUGGAAAAGCUCAAGGGCCAAACAGGGCUCCGGAGAGAAGCAGUCCUCCUGCACUUAGACCCCAGAAGAAGACGACCACAGGGUCCCACCUCUGGAGGUUUUCUAAUCCUCCCCCCAAAGCUUCGCUGCUGCCGGACAGGACGGCGUGCAUGCAGAAAUCGCGCUCUGCCCAGGACUUGGCCACGCGCUCUCUUCCCUCCCCUAUGCCCUCUAGUGACCAGAGGGAGUUGCACAAGAGACCUCAGCAGCUUUUCCUCAAUGAACCCUCUCCCAGACCUUCCUCGUGCUUUUCUUCACACUCCUCUGGGUCCCCACAGUCAUCCCAGUCCCCACUUCCGUGGGAGAGCCCUAAACUCAAGCCCCAGCACUCUUACAUGAACCCCACUGCUAGCUCCGUGGCAAAAAGCCGGUCCUCCUCUUUUGGAGAUGCCGUCCAUAUAGUGACCCCGCCAGGCUCCCCCUUGUUCUCCAAGAGGAGGACGUCGUCUGUGGAGAUGGAAACUGAACCUCCCGUGUUCGCCUCAUUUCCUGUCCUGAUUUUCCCAUCCUCCACGCCGUCAAAAUCAUCCCUUCCACUAUCAAACAGUCCCUCCUCGACUCCACCUCAUCCUACAGCCAGCCAGAACGUCCCUCCUUCUCGCAUCCCACUUCCUAAGCAGCCGCUCAGCCCUCGGCGCAGCCUGUGCCUGGAGGUGAAGCCAAGCUCAAGUUGGUCUGGAGGCAUCAGCAGGGCUUCUACUCCUACAACAGACCCCGGAUGUCACCAUAGAGCUACUCCCCUAAACAAACAAGCAUUAGGCAGGCACCUGUCUCUAAGUUUGGAUUCCUCUUUGUCAUGUUCCAUGCCUGUGAAGCAGAAAAGGGACUCGGUUUCUGAGAGUGCCAAGGAGCCAGGUCAGGUGGCUGUAGCUAAAGAGUGCCCUCUGGUGCCUGAACAGGCCCACACAUCAAGCCCACAGCCAGGUUUGGCCUCCCACGACUUCUUUAACCAACCCUCCUCUUAUUUGUUGCUACAUCCCCUGAUGUUUUUCAGUACUGCUUGUCAGUCUUAUCUGUCUCAUAUUAUCUGCCUGCUUCCAGUUAGACCUUUACAAGGACCACACACGACAGAACAACAAGUUUUAAAUAUCUGCUUUUUUUGUUACAUUUGUUACAUUUACAUUUGUUACAUUUUGUUACAUUCAUUCCUUUAG